This 263-nucleotide ribosomal RNA is filed under the name uncultured bacterium. RNAcentral's name for it is "partial 16S ribosomal RNA". It matches the Rfam family "Bacterial small subunit ribosomal RNA", at positions 95 to 354 of the family's 1533-position model. The record is from RNAcentral.
CCGGCGCACGGGUGAGUAACACGUAUGGAACCUGCCCUAUGCAGGGGGAUAAGCGGAAGAAAUUCCGUCUAAUACCGCAUAACACCUUUAGGAGACAUCUUCUUGGGGUCAAAGGAGGCGACUCCGGCAUAGGAUGGCCAUGCGUCGCAUUAGCCAGUCGGCGGGGUAACGGCCCACCGAGGCGACGAUGCGUAGGGGUUCUGAGAGGAAGGUCCCCCACACUGGUACUGAGACACGGACCAGACUCCUACGGAAGGCAGCAG